GGACCUCCUACGGAGUUGCCACCCUUCCCCAGGCAUGUUAUCUACGCGACCGUUGGGGGCAUCUCGUGAGAGACUGUCCCCAGAUUGCCCACUCUAGACACACACCAGAGUUAAACGCCAACACCCCCUAGAGAGUGGAUCAACUGGGGGUGCAAUCGACACGGUCCCAACACAAUUAGGCGAUAUUGGUGAGCGAGUGACCCCCACGCAGAUGCCGACAUCAACAUCCAAGGACGCGGCAACUGCGAGCGACUGGCUGUGGGAGCUGGUGGUAGGAAUAAACAGGGGCCUGGCCGCUGGUGGAAGGGCAGGUAAUCGGGCGGCUUACUCGGAUUCUGUAGCCUCGCUCGUGAGCACAGCACACUGCAACGUGGUCGGGGUUAACGUGGGCCACCUAAAGGCCCCGGACCGUGCGCUGCACACUGCGAGUUGAGCUGGGAUGGGACUGCUGGGGAGGGUCACCCUGGAGGUCCGUCUCAGACACCAGGUGUGUGACCAAGAGUUCUACAUCGAGCGUGUUGUGCCACGAGUGUAUUGCAGGUACCGACCUCCUGGAAAAGCUGGGGCUCAAUCAAUGUACAGCCCCACCAGCGAUGCACCACCGUGGAGGGCAGCCAGGAGCGGAUUACGUUCCUGCGACAAGAGCCGGAUCGCCCCCACUUCACUUCUGUGUCCGCUACCCUGGUGUCGGCGUCACCAUCGGGCAUCUCACGGAGAUGCUGUUGCUGAUGGCAACACCCUCCACCGACCCCGCACACCGAUCAUCAGGCCUGGAUGACGAUCAGCUGCGACAGGCCCAGCAGCGGGACCCGGACCUGGCGGCGGUGGAGGCAGCCCUGUGGGAGGAAAAAGUCAUCAUACAGGAACCCUGGAGUGGUUUGUAUGCCUGGCUGUGUGUAAAGAACGGGGUUGUGCAGAAACUAACUGAAGCCGGGCAGCCGGGGUGCAUCCGUGUUCCCGCCUAGGUGCGGCCCCAGCUGCUGCAGCUGGUGCACGACCAGCUGCUCAGGGGCCAUGAUGGGGAACGGCGCACUCGGGAGACCAUGCGUUGCCAGUAGCUCUGGCCCAAACUGACAAAGAUGCGGCCGCCUGGGUACAGGGCUGCCGCGCUUGUCAACAGUGUUGGCAGAAACCAGCAUGGUAUCAGGUGCCCCUGAGGCAAUUCCGCCUACAGGGGCCAUUUCUGCAAUCCCACCGAGGCAACUGGUAUAUUCUCGUAGCGGUAAGAAUAUUUCACAUGCUAUCCAGUGGCAGUAACCAUCCCCGCUAAGAUGGCCCUUGUGGUUGCCCGGGCAUUUAAGGAGCAUUACGUGCUUAAACAUGGGAUCCCCGAACGAGUCAUUACUGACCAGGGUAGUGAGUUCGAGGGAGAGCUAUUUCAGGCGCUGUGCCGGGAGUUCAGAAUCCAGAAGGACCAAAUCACGGCAUACCACCCCCAGGCAGAUGGUAUGGUUGAGCGCAUGAACCAGACCUGAGCCAGGAAGCUUAAAAAUAUCAUGGCCGCCAACCAGCAGGAUUGGGAAGGACACCUCCCCUACGCUCUAUUCACCUAAACCACCAUGGUGCACACUUCUACUCAGGCAGACCCCCUUCCUAAUGAUGUUUGGUUGGGAGUCUCGCUUUCCAGCAGAUCUGUUGUUCAGCGUGCCCCCACCACAACCCGAGGAAGAGAGCCAGCCUGUGGAGCACCUGAUGGGGACCCGGUGGGGUGCUCAUGGCUGGGCCUACCAACAGGGGGGGCGCACAUCUGCGGCAAGAGUGGGGUGCCCGCCCCCGUGAGGAGACCCCCUUCUAUUCAGCGGGCUCUAAGAUAUGGCUGCAUACCUCCCGCAUAGGAGCCCGACAGGUGGGGAAGCUGACCACCUACUUGCGCGGACUCUGGACCGUGGUGCGGCAGAUCUCCCGCUGGACGGUACUGAUCCAGGGCGGGGAGAGGGUCUGAGAGACGGUAGUCAAUAUCCGCUGACUAAAACCGUAGAGGGCGGCCCCGGCGGGGGAGGCACCCACCCUUCGGGUACCCUGAAACCCCCGAGCCCCCGCACCCCCCAUGCCCCCCAUACCCAAUGACCUCACGCCGGACCCCGGCCUGGCAAGGAGGUGAUGGGGGCGGCUGCACUUAAAUUCCUCUGCCCCUGAGUUUGUUCCCCAGCCAGCAGACGCAGGAGGACAGGAGGAGCCUCUGGAAUGGAAUAGGAGAUCGCCGCAGGAGCCUCGGACAGCUCAACCACGGCCCACAAAACCGGCAACAAGGGCCGGGCAAGUCCUACGGACUCCCCGGCGUUACUUGGUUGGAGCUACCCAGUCAGCCUGGGACGGGUACGGGCACCUCGGGGGGCUAUGUGGUGCCACGACCGUGGAGCAACUCCGCAAUCGCCGCAAUUCCCUUCAGGCUCCCACACUAAACACACACCCGCACGCAGCACACCCACAUAGUAUCCUGGUGGGGGAUUGCCUGGCACAUCGGAUUUAAUCUGAAGGGCCCCUAGAUGGAGUCCCACGGUUUCCCAGUGCCAGGAGAUUGGCCGACCCUCACAGGACAGGUUACACUGCAGUGCCCCUAAAUUGCCAUAACAUUUUAUGAGCGCAGAAGGAAAAGGUUCACUGGGCAAACUGCAAUAAGUUAUUCACCACAUUGGGAGAGGUUGACGGUGGAAUAUUAGGCAAAAAGAGCAGACCAGUAGACUAGAACUACUGGGCAUGGGAGAACAAUGGGUGGGCGGAGCAGCAGCACUCCCCCAUGAGAGAAGAAGUCAAAAGGAGCGGCAGCACAGGUAAGAGCCCCAUUGGAUGCGCGGUACGACGUCACCCUGGGCCUUUGAAGUUUAGAGCAUAACAAGAGCCAGGGAACGAUUUUGCUCUCUUGGCUUCAAUCUCCGGGCGGUCAAGAGGGGCGGUCAAAACCCUCUCCCUGCCGUCCUGCCUCUUCGAGCCGCUCACAGCAUCCGUGUGAUGCCAGCGAGUGCUGCUACGAGACAGUGAUAGGUCAAGUCUUCCCUCGUCCUCCUCCCUCCGACUCUCUCAGCAUCCGUGGGACGCCGCGUGUCCAGCUUCGAGGUACGUCGUAGGACGUUUGUGUGACUGGGUUCAUAGGCAGAGUUAGGCUAGGCUCUCCUCGCGAAAUAUUCCACCUCCAGGUAGUGUGUAUUUGCACCAUUAAUAAACUUCAGUUCAGAGUAUCGGU
Molecule: non-coding RNA, 3181 nt
Organism: Petromyzon marinus (sea lamprey)
Lineage: Eukaryota; Metazoa; Chordata; Hyperoartia; Petromyzontiformes; Petromyzontidae
Source: RefSeq, a predicted model, not a curated record